This 254-nucleotide ribosomal RNA is filed under the name uncultured bacterium. RNAcentral describes it as "partial 16S ribosomal RNA". It matches the Rfam family "Bacterial small subunit ribosomal RNA", at positions 524 to 776 of the family's 1533-position model. The record is from RNAcentral.
UACGUAGGUGGCAAGCGUUGUCCGGAUUUACUGGGCGUAAAGAGCGCGCAGGCGGUCGGAUCAGUCGAAUGUGAAAGCCCCCGGCUCAACUGGAGAGGGUCAUUCGAUACUGUCCGACUCGAAGGCAGGAGAGGGAAGCGGAAUUCCCGGUGUAGUGGUGAAAUGCGUAGAUAUCGGGAGGAACACCAGUGGCGAAGGCGGCUUUCUGGCCUGUUUCUUGACGCUGAGGCGCGAAAGCUAGGGGAGCGAACGGG